RNAcentral lists this ribosomal RNA (1860 nucleotides) under Staphylococcus aureus. RNAcentral describes it as "partial 23S ribosomal RNA". It matches the Rfam family "Bacterial large subunit ribosomal RNA", at positions 1 to 1858 of the family's 2925-position model. Lineage: Bacteria; Bacillati; Bacillota; Bacilli; Caryophanales; Staphylococcaceae. The record is from RNAcentral.
AGAUUAAGUUAUUAAGGGCGCACGGUGGAUGCCUUGGCACUAGAAGCCGAUGAAGGACGUUACUAACGACGAUAUGCUUUGGGGAGCUGUAAGUAAGCUUUGAUCCAGAGAUUUCCGAAUGGGGAAACCCAGCAUGAGUUAUGUCAUGUUAUCGAUAUGUGAAUACAUAGCAUAUCAGAAGGCACACCCGGAGAACUGAAACAUCUUAGUACCCGGAGGAAGAGAAAGAAAAUUCGAUUCCCUUAGUAGCGGCGAGCGAAACGGGAAGAGCCCAAACCAACAAGCUUGCUUGUUGGGGUUGUAGGACACUCUAUACGGAGUUACAAAGGACGACAUUAGACGAAUCAUCUGGAAAGAUGAAUCAAAGAAGGUAAUAAUCCUGUAGUCGAAAAUGUUGUCUCUCUUGAGUGGAUCCUGAGUACGACGGAGCACGUGAAAUUCCGUCGGAAUCUGGGAGGACCAUCUCCUAAGGCUAAAUACUCUCUAGUGACCGAUAGUGAACCAGUACCGUGAGGGAAAGGUGAAAAGCACCCCGGAAGGGGAGUGAAAUAGAACCUGAAACCGUGUGCUUACAAGUAGUCAGAGCCCGUUAAUGGGUGAUGGCGUGCCUUUUGUAGAAUGAACCGGCGAGUUACGAUUUGAUGCAAGGUUAAGCAGUAAAUGUGGAGCCGUAGCGAAAGCGAGUCUGAAUAGGGCGUUUAGUAUUUGGUCGUAGACCCGAAACCAGGUGAUCUACCCUUGGUCAGGUUGAAGUUCAGGUAACACUGAAUGGAGGACCGAACCGACUUACGUUGAAAAGUGAGCGGAUGAACUGAGGGUAGCGGAGAAAUUCCAAUCGAACCUGGAGAUAGCUGGUUCUCUCCGAAAUAGCUUUAGGGCUAGCCUCAAGUGAUGAUUAUUGGAGGUAGAGCACUGUUUGGACGAGGGGCCCCUCUCGGGUUACCGAAUUCAGACAAACUCCGAAUGCCAAUUAAUUUAACUUGGGAGUCAGAACAUGGGUGAUAAGGUCCGUGUUCGAAAGGGAAACAGCCCAGACCACCAGCUAAGGUCCCAAAAUAUAUGUUAAGUGGAAAAGGAUGUGGCGUUGCCCAGACAACUAGGAUGUUGGCUUAGAAGCAGCCAUCAUUUAAAGAGUGCGUAAUAGCUCACUAGUCGAGUGACACUGCGCCGAAAAUGUACCGGGGCUAAACAUAUUACCGAAGCUGUGGAUUGUCCUUUGGACAAUGGUAGGAGAGCGUUCUAAGGGCGUUGAAGCAUGAUCGUAAGGACAUGUGGAGCGCUUAGAAGUGAGAAUGCCGGUGUGAGUAGCGAAAGACGGGUGAGAAUCCCGUCCACCGAUUGACUAAGGUUUCCAGAGGAAGGCUCGUCCGCUCUGGGUUAGUCGGGUCCUAAGCUGAGGCCGACAGGCGUAGGCGAUGGAUAACAGGUUGAUAUUCCUGUACCACCUAUAAUCGUUUUAAUCGAUGGGGGGACGCAGUAGGAUAGGCGAAGCGUGCGAUUGGAUUGCACGUCUAAGCAGUAAGGCUGAGUAUUAGGCAAAUCCGGUACUCGUUAAGGCUGAGCUGUGAUGGGGAGAAGACAUUGUGUCUUCGAGUCGUUGAUUUCACACUGCCGAGAAAAGCCUCUAGAUAGAAAAUAGGUGCCCGUACCGCAAACCGACACAGGUAGUCAAGAUGAGAAUUCUAAGGUGAGCGAGCGAACUCUCGUUAAGGAACUCGGCAAAAUGACCCCGUAACUUCGGGAGAAGGGGUGCUCUUUAGGGUUAACGCCCAGAAGAGCCGCAGUGAAUAGGCCCAAGCGACUGUUUAUCAAAAACACAGGUCUCUGCUAAACCGUAAGGUGAUGUAUAGGGGCUGACGC